Molecule: long non-coding RNA, 558 nt
Filed under: Ananas comosus (pineapple)
Lineage: Eukaryota; Viridiplantae; Streptophyta; Magnoliopsida; Poales; Bromeliaceae
Description: long non-coding RNA (ACOM_LNC014415)
Source: RNAcentral
UUAAAAUUUAGUUUCAUAUUUUAAAUUAUCCACUCAACUUCAAAGUUUAAUUUUUUUUAAAAAAAAAUUUAUUUAAAAUUUUGACAUUAUUUCAAAAUUUUGAUGUACAUUUUUAAUAUUUAAUUUUUAAUUUGUAUUUAAAUUAAUAUAUUAUAAAGAUAAUGUUAAUAUAUUAAUUUGAUUACGCUUUUUAUAUCCACCUGAACCAAACACCGAUAAUGGGAAUAAUUUAUUCUGAUUCCGAUUCAGGUGAUGAACCAAACAAAAUUAGGUAAUGAGUCAUUCUAAUUCCGAUUUCAGCUUAUUUUGAUUCCGAUUCCGAUUUCGACUCCGACUUCAAACCAAACACGCCCUUAGUUAGAAAUGUGAAUCAACUAGUAUUCGAACUUGGGUCUCGGAUACCAGCCACCAAGCCCUUUGCCACUUGCUAUAGAAACAGUCGGUGAAAAAUAGAAUAGCUACAGUUCUAAAGACAUCGACUUCCUAUCAAUCAAAUAAAUAAUAAUAGCAGAAGUGUCAUCUCUAUUUUGAAAAUCAGUUACGGACAAACAAACAGAC